This 279-nucleotide ribosomal RNA is filed under the name uncultured bacterium. RNAcentral's name for it is "partial 16S ribosomal RNA". It matches the Rfam family "Bacterial small subunit ribosomal RNA", at positions 506 to 784 of the family's 1533-position model. The record is from RNAcentral.
UGCCAGCCGCCGCGGUAAUACGGAGGGUGCAAGCGUUAAUCGGAAUUACUGGGCGUAAAGCGCGCGUAGGUGGUCAAGUCAGUCAGAUGUGAAAGCCCUGGGCUCAACCUGGGAACUGCAUCUGAUACUGCUUGACUAGAGUAUGGUAGAGGGGUGUGGAAUUUCCUGUGUAGCGGUGAAAUGCGUAGAUAUAGGAAGGAACACCAGUGGCGAAGGCGACACCCUGGACCUUAUCUGACGCUAAGGGACGAAACCCUGGGUAGCGAAUGGGAUUAGAUA